This 252-nucleotide ribosomal RNA is filed under the name uncultured bacterium. RNAcentral's name for it is "partial 16S ribosomal RNA". It matches the Rfam family "Bacterial small subunit ribosomal RNA", at positions 524 to 776 of the family's 1533-position model. The record is from RNAcentral.
UACGUAGGUCCCGAGCGUUAUCCGGAUUUAUUGGGCGUAAAGCGAGCGCAGGCGGCUGGAUAAGUCUGAAGUUAAAGGCUGUGGCUUAACCAUAGUAUGCUUUGGAAACUGUUCAACUUGAGUGCAGAAGGGGAGAGUGGAAUUCCAUGUGUAGCGGUGGAAUGCGUAGAUAUAUGGAGGAACACCGGUGGCGAAAGCGGCUCUCUGGUCUGUAACUGACGCUGAGGCUCGAAAGCGUGGGUAGCGAACAGG